AGAAUCCUUUUUCCCUUCUCGCUUUUUGGAGAUCAAUUUAGAGGGGUUUUUGUUUCUAAUAUGCCGGAGUUCUAUAAAUCCCAUAAUAAGUUGUUAAUCCUCUGAAAAUGAAAACCUAAACCCGCAAAUCUCAAAACCACCUUCUCAAUGCUUCCCUAACCAGAAGCUCUGUUUUGCUGAGCCUUUGUUCGUGUUGUCGUUCCGCGUCUCUUCGAUUUCUUCUCAUCAGAAACUCUUUUAGAUCUCGGUAAGUGUGUAUUUUGCCCUUCUUCCACAGUUGCUCCAAUGGUGACAAGGUGAAUUGCUUUUGUUUGAGAUUUAUGAAUUUGGAUAUUUUGAGAAUUAAAAGAAAAACGAUCUGGUUUCAUAAAUCUGAAAUUUUUUGAAGCACGAAUGGGUUUUGUCCGUGGGUUGGGUAAAAUAACACUCUCUGUUGAUUUAUAAAAUCACACUGUUAAAUUGGAUGGUUUUCUUUUUUAUGCAUCCUUUUUGAAUUCAUUAGGCAAUGCUCACUCUCCAGUAUUUGUGUUUUAAAUUUGAAGGAAGAAUUGAUGGUAUCCUUGUCCAUGAUACACAGGUAAGUGUUACUUAUAUCACAAAUAUGUAAUGCUGGUUCACCCUUGUAGCUAUCAAUUUGCCAUUGCCUUUCUAAUUCAAAGAAUUUGUAGAUCAGUUUUAAAAGGGUAGAACAUUAAUCUUUCAUCAUGUUGGGAUUUUGGUGCGGAAUAUCUCCAAGAAGGAGAUGUUCAAUCUGUUCUGUUUGACAGGGAGAAUAAAUGAUAUUGAUCUGUCUAGGAAGAAGAAAGAACAAUUAGUGUUUAUGUUUAUGCUUGUAUAAGAGUCUGGCUAGAAUGUAUAACAUAGGAAGAUUAUUACUCUUUCAGCUCAGGAAAAUGUUCUUAUAGAUAUGUGUUUGAUAAGAAAAAUGCAAGGGGAUGUAUGGUUGAAGAUUGGAGGGAGGAUUUUUAUGGUGAAGGUUAAAUAAGUGGGAUUCACAAGGUAUGGUUCAGUGUGCUUCCGCUAUAUCAAAUAAUAGAAAUGGUGGAACUCCUGUAUGGUGAAUAGCUAACAUAAAUCCCAUAAGAUAUAUAAGUGAUGAAGCAGGGUGUAUUAUGUAACCCAGACAACCCAAUUCAAAUGUGAAGACUUUGCAAGUUCAAUCUGGUGAGGAUGAUGAACAAAGCUUCUCUGGGCCACAAAGUUUUGUUUGUAGGAGAGUUAGAGUGAGUCUAAUGAGAAUUGGACCACAAAAGAAGAGUAAAUCAGAGGCUAAGAGAGUGAGAAACAUAGAGGCACAGAACACUAUUGCUUGAUGAGAAGUUGUAUGAAGAAGACAAAGAUGACUAGAAAAACUCAUCAUGAGGGAUGAAGCUGCGAAAAAGUGUUCGAGAUGGUAAAUUUAAUAGUGCUUUAAAUCUUUCUAUUUGAAAAUGAACUUAGAAAUUAUAAUUAUUCACCACAAAUUUUGUUUGAACAUCAUCUCACCAUUAGAUAGAAAUACGGAUAGAAUAAUUAUGUAAAGAUUCCAAACUACAAGAAAAAAUACGAAGAGAGAAAAGAUUGAUAAGAGGUUAUAUUUCUUUGUCAUCCAUCUCCUUUAGUGAUUUUCCAUCUCCUUCACACUUUGUAUUCAAUAUAUCUUUUGACUCGGUGUUUGGAGGCAAAUUGAUGGUUUCACCUUCGGCAUUGUUAUUACUUUCAGUGAAAUGGCAGAGAGAUGGAAACUUUGAAGACCAAUGAGGUUUUUUCUUUGCACGAGCGCCUUUAUCAUUUGUCUUCAUUUUCUUCUCCCUCUUGGAGAUUUCAGGACGUAACUUUUUUUGUCGUUCCUCAUUUGAUAUGGUGUCUUUCUUUG
This is a non-coding RNA of Arachis ipaensis, 1855 nucleotides long. The record is from RefSeq and is a predicted model, not a curated record. NCBI's taxonomy places the organism in Eukaryota, Viridiplantae, Streptophyta, Magnoliopsida, Fabales, Fabaceae.